GCGCCGCCGCUGCCAACCCGGAAGGAGCCCGGAGGGGCCCGGGCGGCCAGGGCGCCCCCGCCAGGAGGCCCGCCAGGUGUCCACCUGAGCCCCACGCCCUGCGCCGCGGGGCCCUUUUGGGGGCGGGGUGCCAGCUCCGAGGUGUCCUCCCACGGGCUGUAGACUGGGAAACUGAGGCCCGGGCCACGGUCCCAGACGCAGCCGGGACCCGAACCCACCUCACCUGAGCGAAUGAUAUCCGGGACUCAUCCUUUUUCGACACCUUUGCGGGAUCCAGCCCUCCAAGGAAAGCUUCCUGAGCAGUGCGCGCCACGUGUAUUGGGCACCUCACCGCGGCCACUUCACAUCCUAUCUCAGGUGGAGAAACUAAGCCACAGAAAGGAGCUGUCAUUUACCUAAAGCACCGUGGCAGGGGUUUGGCAGAGCCAGGAUUUGUACCCAGAUCGCCUGACUUCGGAGAGUAACAGCUCUUAACCACAGCACUUCGGUCUAUGCCUUGAUUUCACCAUAUGUAACAAGCAGCUGUGCCACUUUGCAUUCCCACCAGCAGCACGCAAGCGUUCGAAUUUCUCCGCACGCUCCCCAACAGGACAAGAGCUUGCCGUGUUGCCCCAGGCUGGUCUCAAACUCCUAGCCUCAAGCAAACUUCCUGUCUCGGCCUUUCAAAACCCUGAGAUUACAAGCAUAAGAAAAGAAAAUCUUGUAAGAUGAAAGCUGAAGGAUGAGAGCAAUUAAUUGAUGAAGUAUGAUGAUCCAGGUGUCCCUGGGUGAAGAAACAACCUCUACAAAGGCCCUGAGAGAUGGGGUCUCCCUAUGCUUCCCAGGCUGGUCUCGAACU
Molecule: long non-coding RNA, 838 nt
Filed under: Homo sapiens (human)
Lineage: Eukaryota; Metazoa; Chordata; Mammalia; Primates; Hominidae
Description: HSALNT0405573
Source: RNAcentral